AGCAUAGUUGUGCUUAUCUGCAGGAACAAGGGCCGCCCAGCUAGAGAUUGCCGAUGCUAUUCUCCGCAACUCAAUUAUUUGCUUUCUCUCCUCAUCUCGUCUGGCCAUCUGCCACAAGUAGCGGCUUCAAGCCACGGUAUCAAGCUAAUGGGGGAUCAUCAAAUCCUUGAGCAAAACAAGGAGAUAGAGUCCCAUCCACCCUUAAUUUCUUUUGCUUCUUUUUCCCUGGUGGGAAAGAAAACAAGAACUUAGGGUUGCAAUGCCAGAAUCUCUCAGAAUGAGAAGCCAGUUUAACGCCCCCUUUUGUAAGGACGGAAAUGCUCAAUUUGUACCCUAGCCACCAU
Molecule: small RNA, 344 nt
Filed under: Histoplasma ohiense
Lineage: Eukaryota; Fungi; Ascomycota; Eurotiomycetes; Onygenales; Ajellomycetaceae
Description: hypothetical lncRNA
Source: RNAcentral